GCCGCUCAGUGUUCUAGGUCAAAUAAGACAUUUUUUAACAAUGCCUGAGAUAAAUACCGACCAUCUGGAUGAGCAACAAGUUCAACUCUUGGCAGAGAUGUGUAUACUUAUUGAUGAAAAUGACGAUAAAAUUGGGGCUGAGACUAAGAAGAAUUGUCACCUGAAUGAAAACAUUGAGAAAGGAUUAUUGCAUUGGGCUUUUAGUGUCUUCUUAUUCAACACUGAAAAUAAGCUGCUGCUACAGCAGAGGUCGGAGGCUAAAAUUACCUUUCCAGAUUGUUUUACCAACACAUGUUGCAGUCAUCCAUUAAGUAAUCCAGGCGAGCUUGAGGAGAGCAAUGCCCUUGGAGUGCGACGGGCAGCACAGAGGCGCCUACACAUGUGGAAUUGGGAAUUCCUUUGCAAGAAGUGCCUCCAGAAGACAUUAAUUAUUUGACACGAAUUUACUACAAGGCCCAGUCUGAUGGUAUCUGGAGUGAGCAUGAGAUUGACUACAUUCUGUUUGUGAGGAAGAAUGUGACUCUAAAUCCAGAUACGAAUGAGGUUAAAAGCUACUGCUAUGUGUCCAAGGCAGAACUGGAAGAUCUUCUGAAAAAAGCAGCCAGUGGGGAAGUUAAGAUUACACCGUGGUUUAAAAUCAUUGUAGAGACUUUUCUCUUUAAAUGGUGGGAUAACUUAAAUCAUUUGAGCCAGUUUGUUGACCAUGAGAAAAUACAUAGAAUGUGAAUGUGGAGAUGAAUGAUUACUUCAGGAUUUCUCUGUUUGGUAAACUUAGAAUUACUUUUUUAUAAAAUUUGGUUCCCCAUUAAGAAAACUCUCAUAUGAUACAUUGGCAAUUUACAACUUGUGUUGAAAACACAACUAAUAAUAAAUUAGUUAACUAAUAAAUAAAUUACCUUCAUAAACUUAAGGUAAUUUACAACUUGUGUAGAAAACACAACUAACCAUCACACACCCCAUAUAUGUGAUGAGAAGUUACUGUGAAAUGAAAGAGAACAAAUAAAACACAAUUUAACCUGUCCAGACAUACGGUUAUAACAAAUCUGAACUAACAGGGACACUUUUGUUUUUGAUAUGUUAUGGUGAACGUUUUUGGAUCACUUUUUGUCUGCCAGGUGCAAUCCUUGCUUUUGGCAAUGGUAUGGGUUAGGUUAGGUCUUCUUUUAAAUAGUA
RNA transcript from Nycticebus coucang (slow loris), 1173 nucleotides. It is a transcript of the gene named isopentenyl-diphosphate Delta-isomerase 1-like, with no coding region annotated. The transcript has a single exon. The record is from RefSeq and is a predicted model, not a curated record. NCBI's taxonomy places the organism in Eukaryota, Metazoa, Chordata, Mammalia, Primates, Lorisidae.